This 218-nucleotide ribosomal RNA is filed under the name Meliosma chartacea. RNAcentral describes it as "partial 26S ribosomal RNA". It matches the Rfam family "Eukaryotic large subunit ribosomal RNA", at positions 1 to 218 of the family's 3401-position model. The record is from RNAcentral. Lineage: Eukaryota; Viridiplantae; Streptophyta; Magnoliopsida; Proteales; Sabiaceae.
CGACCCCAGGUCAGGCGGGAUCACCCGCUGAGUUUAAGCAUAUCAAUAAGCGGAGGAGAAGAAACUUACAAGGAUUCCCCUAGUAACGGCGAGCGAACCGGGAUCAGCCCAGCUUGAGAAUCGGGCGGCAUUGUCGUUCGAAUUGUANUCUGUAGAAGCGUCCUCAGUGACGGACCGGGCCCAAGUCCCCUGGAAGGGGGCGCCAGAGAGGGUGAGAG